GCCGUACUAGAGAAAUGGUUAACUCGUCGGCCUCCUAUUGCAAAGUCAAUAAGCCGAAGAUUCCCGGUUCGAGUCCGGGGUGCGGUG
This 87-nucleotide transfer RNA is filed under the name Hypoxylon sp. FL1857. RNAcentral describes it as "tRNA-Arg". It matches the Rfam family "tRNA". Rfam says of the family: Transfer RNA (tRNA) molecules are approximately 80 nucleotides in length. Their secondary structure includes four short double-helical elements and three loops (D, anti-codon, and T loops). RNAcentral also lists the same sequence under 2 other names. The record is from RNAcentral. Lineage: Eukaryota; Fungi; Ascomycota; Sordariomycetes; Xylariales; Hypoxylaceae.